This 433-nucleotide ribosomal RNA is filed under the name uncultured bacterium. RNAcentral's name for it is "partial 16S ribosomal RNA". It matches the Rfam family "Bacterial small subunit ribosomal RNA", at positions 29 to 507 of the family's 1533-position model. The record is from RNAcentral.
AACGAACGCUGGCGGCAGGCCUAACACAUGCAAGUCGAGCGAGGACUUCGGUUCUAGCGGCGGACGGGUGAGUAACGCGUGGGAAUGUGCCCUUCUCUACGGAAUAGCCCUGGGAAACUGGGAGUAAUACCGUAUACGCCCUAUUGGGGAAAGAUUUAUCGGAGAAGGAUCAGCCCGCGUUGGAUUAGGUAGUUGGUGGGGUAAUGGCCUACCAAGCCGACGAUCCAUAGCUGGUUUGAGAGGAUGAUCAGCCACACUGGGACUGAGACACGGCCCAGACCCCUACGGAAGGCGCCAGGGGGGAAUGUUAAAAAAGGGGGCCAACCCUUAUCUACCCUUGCCGCGUGAGUAAUGAGGCCCUUGGGGUUGAAAACCUCUUCCGGCGGGGAAGAUAAGGAGGGACCCAAAAAAAAAACCCCCGGCUACCCCCGUC